AUCUUUCUUCAUAGCCGUAUGUAAACAAAAGAAAAAAAGAAGAAAGAAAACAAGUUAAGGUUCGGCCAUUUUUUUUAAGCUUGAUUCAAGGUGAGUUUUAGUUCGGUUUUUGAUAAUUUUUACGUUUUUGAGAUCGUUGCUUUAAAUACUUCAAAACCCAUGUUUUAAUUUUGUGAAUGGUUGAUGAUUUUGAAAUGUGCCAUUGAUGAAUGCUUGAGUUUUAUGAUGUUAGUCGGUGAAAUAUGAAAUAUAUGUGUUAGAUUAAUAAGUUUUGUCUUUGAAUUUUUGGAGAAUUUGAGUAAUUAGGGCUAAAUUGUGAAAAUAAAAUUUUGAGGCACUAAAAUGUGAAAUAAAUGAAAUGUAAGAACUUGUAUGAAGAAAAGGAACAUUCGGCCCUUGCAUGGUGUGUGCAAAUUUUGUGUAUUUUGUGUUUUAUGCACUAGGGACUAAAUUGCAAAAAGUGUAAAAUGUCAGAGGCAAAAUGGUAAUUUGCCCAUUUAUGUGUUUUUGGACUAAAUUGAAUGUAAUUAUAUUUAAAUUAGUUUAUUUUGAAUACAUUUAGAUCAAGAACCAAAGAAAUCGGAGUUGGAUCGAGGAAAAACCAAAGUCGUCGAUUAAUCGUCCUGUUUCGAUUUUCAUCAUCUGAGGUAAGUCUUUAAGCAAAUAAAUGUCGUUAAAUUAAAAUUUAUAUGAAUUUUAUAUGCUGAAUUUAUUUGUAGAAAUUUUCAUAUGUUAGCCGAAUGUGAAAUGGUUGUGAAAUUUGAGCAAAAGUUUGAUCUAUUUGAGAUACUAUGUUUAAAAUGCUUAGUUUACAUCUUAAAGAUUUAUUAGUACUUCCUAUAUAGAUAUGAAUUAUGUGUAAGAUCAAUUUUGUAUCAGUGAUAAUCGGGCUUUAUGCCUAGCAAGCUUUAUGCCGGUGAAUUAUAUCAGGCUUUACGCCUAGUAGGCUUAAUGUCGGUGUACCAUAACAGGCUUUACGCCUAGCAGGCUUCGUGCCGGUGUAUCAUAUUAAGAUUUUUGCUUAGUAGGCUUUACGCCGAAGUGAUAUCAAGUGAGAUUAAUGAACUAAAAUGAUCAGGUACGUGAUGUUUACUUAGCUAUUCGAAAAAUUUGGUAAGUAGAUUGGUUAGUUAUCGCAAAAAUGAUAUAUAAAGCUAACAUAAGUAUAUGUGUAUAUGAAAGGUGAGUUCGGCCCUAUGUUAAUUGGAUGCAAAUGAUUGGAAGCCUUAGUAUAAUCAAGUAGUCAUGACAAAAAUGAUUUGAGAUAUAUGAAUGUAUUAGUGAUGUAUAAACAUGUGUAUAUUUGAUCUUGAUAUAUUGCCUAUUUAAUGAUAUAUUACAUAAGUAUUUGCUUAAGACUUUCUAAGCUAAGUUAGCUUACUUUGUGUAUCUAUUUGUCGUUGUUUUAUAGAUUUUGGAGGUCGUUACAUGCUCGGGGAUCAUCAGUGAAGUCAUUCACACUGUCGACUACUUUCGGUAUUUUAAAAAAAAAAUCAUUUUGAACUUAUGGCAUGUAUAGGCUAGUAUAUAUUAUAUAUGUACAUUUGGUAUGUAUUAUGUUCGAAUGUUAUGAUGCAAACCGAAUGGUGAGUGUAUAUGAAAUGUGG
This 1607-nucleotide long non-coding RNA is filed under the name Gossypium barbadense (sea-island cotton). RNAcentral describes it as "long non-coding RNA (GBAR_LNC021826)". Lineage: Eukaryota; Viridiplantae; Streptophyta; Magnoliopsida; Malvales; Malvaceae. The record is from RNAcentral.